GGAAACUCGCGCGUCCAGUCUCAAAGACUGAGUAUGACAAAAAAGUGAUGUGCACAUAUUUUGUUUCAUUCAAAUUCUAUUUGUGUCUCUUGAUUUUGAAUUGCUAAAGUUUGAAUUUAAGAAAAAGACAAUAUAUAAGAGUAUAGAAGAUUUUAACGGAAUAUUCCUUUAAAGGUCCUUUUUGCUACGAACAAAAAGCACAUGAUGCUAUUUGUACUAUGGAUCAUUCCUUUCCAUUCAAAGCAUGAC
RNAcentral lists this long non-coding RNA (249 nucleotides) under Glycine max (soybean). RNAcentral describes it as "long non-coding RNA (GMAX_LNC002218)". The record is from RNAcentral. Lineage: Eukaryota; Viridiplantae; Streptophyta; Magnoliopsida; Fabales; Fabaceae.